UACGUAGGGUGCGAGCGUUGUCCGGAAUUAUUGGGCGUAAAGAGCGUGUAGGCGGCCCGAUUAGUCCGCUGUGAAAGUCCAGGGCUCAACCCUGGAAUGCCGGUGGAUACUGUCGGGCUAGAGUCCGGAAGGGGCGAGUGGAAUUCCUGGUGUAGCGGUGAAAUGCGCAGAUAUCAGGAGGAACACCAAUGGCGAAGGCAGCUCGCUGGGACGUGACUGACGCUGAGACGCGAAAGCGUGGGGAGCAAACAGG
RNAcentral lists this ribosomal RNA (253 nucleotides) under uncultured bacterium. RNAcentral describes it as "partial 16S ribosomal RNA". It matches the Rfam family "Bacterial small subunit ribosomal RNA", at positions 524 to 776 of the family's 1533-position model. The record is from RNAcentral.